Molecule: long non-coding RNA, 420 nt
Filed under: Ananas comosus (pineapple)
Lineage: Eukaryota; Viridiplantae; Streptophyta; Magnoliopsida; Poales; Bromeliaceae
Description: long non-coding RNA (ACOM_LNC013524)
Source: RNAcentral
CUCCGACUUGAUCCACGAAACUUGCCAAUACAUAGGACCUAACAAUCUCCCCCUUUGGCAAUUUCGUGACAAAACACACAAAAACUCACAAAUUACAAUUUAAAGAAAAAACGAAGUUCAAUGUCAUCACCAAAACAUCGAACCCCUCGCGUGUAAUCCAAAUACAAUUUGAAACUCAAAAUUACAUCAAAAACUCCUAAAACAGACUCUAUGACUUAGACGCAACUAGGAGUCUUGAAGUCUUGAUUUCCUGCAAAACAACUCAUUCAAAAAUGAUUAGCACUAAAUUCUUAUACCUUCUCCCCCUUUGUUCACAUCUCCCCCUUUGUUCUUGAACUUAUCAUCCUCUGCUUCAGUUCAAAACCUGCUCAUCCAUGCUCCCCCCCCUUCAUUUAAGCUCUCCCCCUUUUUGUCAAAAAU